Molecule: ribosomal RNA, 406 nt
Filed under: uncultured bacterium
Lineage: Bacteria
Description: bacterial SSU rRNA
Rfam family: Bacterial small subunit ribosomal RNA
Source: RNAcentral
GUGGGGGAUAUUGCACAAUGGGGGAAACCCUGAUGCAGCAACGCCGCGUGAAGGAAGAAGGUCUUCGGAUUGUAAACUUUUGUCCUUAGUGAAGAUAAUGACGGUAGCUAAGGAGGAAGCUCCGGCUAACUACGUGCCAGCAGCCGCGGUAAUACGUAGGGAGCGAGCGUUGUCCGGAUUUACUGGGUGUAAAGGGUGCGUAGGCGGAAGAGCAAGUCAGUAGUGAAAUCCAUGGGCUUAACCCGUGAACUGCUAUUGAAACUGUUUUUCUUGAGUGAAGUAGAGGUAGGCGGAAUUCCCGGUGUAGCGGUGAAAUGCGUAGAGAUCGGGAGGAACACCAGUGGCGAAGGCGGCCUACUGGGCUUUAACUGACGCUGAGGCACGAAAGCAUGGGUAGCAAACAGGA